Molecule: ribosomal RNA, 206 nt
Filed under: uncultured bacterium
Lineage: Bacteria
Description: partial 16S ribosomal RNA
Rfam family: Bacterial small subunit ribosomal RNA
Source: RNAcentral
CACGUAGGCGGCUUUGCAAGUCGGAUGUGAAAUCCCCGGGCUCAACCUGGGAACUGCAUUCGAGACUGCUUUGCUUGAGUAUGGGAGAGGGAGGCGGAAUUUCCGGUGUAGCGGUGAAAUGCGUAGAUAUCGGAAGGAACAUCAGUGGCGAAAGCGGCCUCCUGGACCAAUACUGACGCUCAUGUGCGAAAGCGUGGGAGCAAACA